UCCCUGGUGGGCAAGUGGUUAGGAUUCCGCGCUUUCACUGCUAUGACCCAGGUUCAAUCCCUGGUCUGGGAA
This 72-nucleotide transfer RNA is filed under the name Sus scrofa (pig). It matches the Rfam family "tRNA". Rfam says of the family: Transfer RNA (tRNA) molecules are approximately 80 nucleotides in length. Their secondary structure includes four short double-helical elements and three loops (D, anti-codon, and T loops). The record is from Rfam by way of RNAcentral. Lineage: Eukaryota; Metazoa; Chordata; Mammalia; Artiodactyla; Suidae.